AAGUGGGGAUGACGUCAAGUCCUCAUGGCCCUUAUAGUGGGGCUACACACGUCAUACAAUGGCUGGUACAAAGGGUUGCCAACCCGCGAGGGGGAGCCAAUCCCAUAAAGCCAGUCGUAGUCCGGAUCGUAGUCUGCAACUCGACUACGUGAAGUCGGAAUCGCUAGUAAUCGUGGAUCAGAAUGUCACGGUGAAUACGUUCCCGGGUCUU
RNAcentral lists this ribosomal RNA (211 nucleotides) under uncultured Rhodoferax sp. RNAcentral describes it as "partial 16S ribosomal RNA". It matches the Rfam family "Bacterial small subunit ribosomal RNA", at positions 1171 to 1382 of the family's 1533-position model. The record is from RNAcentral. Lineage: Bacteria; Pseudomonadati; Pseudomonadota; Betaproteobacteria; Burkholderiales; Comamonadaceae.